GCAGCGGGGGAUGUAGCAAUACAUUCUGCCGGCGACCGGUUCAAGGGUGCGUAACGCGUGAGCAACAUGCCCGUCUCAGGGGGAUAACCGGUGGAAACGCCGCCUAAUACCCCAUGGCGAUAUAUUGAGGCAUCUUGAUACAUCUAAAGAUCCGUCGGAUGGGGAUAGGCUCGCGUGACAUUAGCUAGUCGGCGGGGUAACGGCCCACCGAGGCGACGAUGUCUAGGGGUUCUGAGAGGAAGGUCCCCCACACUGGUACUGAGACACGAACCACAUUUAAACGGGAGGUAGCAGUGAGGAAUAUUGGUCAAUGGGCUUACGCCUGAACCAGCCAAGUCGCGUGAGGGAAGACUGCCCUAUGGGUUGUAAACCUCUUUUGUCAGGGAGCAACGCCGGCUACGUGUAGCCGGACUGAGAGUACCUGAAGAAAA
This 431-nucleotide ribosomal RNA is filed under the name uncultured bacterium. RNAcentral describes it as "bacterial SSU rRNA". It matches the Rfam family "Bacterial small subunit ribosomal RNA", at positions 64 to 488 of the family's 1533-position model. The record is from RNAcentral.